CAUGUUAUGUAGUCUGAAGUUUAAAUUUUAAGAUGGGAUAUAAGUGAACGGUUUGAUAGUGAAUAACUCGCAUAUUGAUAUUUGACAGAUAUUUAAGUCAGUUUGAGAUUCUGAUUGACUGGUGGCAGAAGGGGUAUGAAUAUAAAGUGGCAUUAAGGCCUUGCAGACAGACUUAACAAUAACAUGCUGAAGUUGCAAUAACAGUUUGACGAAGACCCACAUGUAAUCCCAUAUUGACGGUUGUAGAACUCGUACCAACAGAUUUCACUUUGGGAUAUAAUGGCAAGUUGGGAUGAGAAACUUCUUAUAGCUGCAAGGGAGGGGAAUAUAAAAGAGGUAGAAUUAUGUGUAAAGAACAGCGCUAACUUGGAAUGUAGUGAUUUUUAUGGAAUGACACCAUUAAUGUUGGCCGCUGAGAACGGACACCUGGAGGUGGUGACUUACCUAGUCACUCACGGCAGU
Molecule: long non-coding RNA, 462 nt
Organism: Mytilus trossulus (common blue mussel)
Lineage: Eukaryota; Metazoa; Mollusca; Bivalvia; Mytilida; Mytilidae
Exons: 5
Source: RefSeq, a predicted model, not a curated record